AUAGCUGAGUGAUAAAGCACUUGGCUUCCAAACCAGGGGUCCCAGGUUCAAAUCCUGGU
Biomphalaria glabrata is the source of this 59-nucleotide non-coding RNA. NCBI's taxonomy places the organism in Eukaryota, Metazoa, Mollusca, Gastropoda, Planorbidae. The record is from Rfam.